This is a long non-coding RNA of Ruditapes philippinarum (Manila clam), 1185 nucleotides long. RefSeq lists it as uncharacterized. The transcript has 2 exons. The record is from RefSeq and is a predicted model, not a curated record. Lineage: Eukaryota; Metazoa; Mollusca; Bivalvia; Venerida; Veneridae.
AACCCCUCGGAAUUAAUUUCAUUCAAGGACGGCAAUCGCCAAAUAUUUGCAACGUUGCUUUGUUUCUCUAGGUCUUUGGUAUUUUGCCUCGCGGGCAGAAACUUCAUGAUGUGAAUUUUUUUGUUGUUGUUUUUUACGGAAGUACAAACUAGCCGGUCACUUGUUUUCUAAAAUCUGAUUCGACAAUCACAACUUGUUCGACCAAUCAGAAGCGUUGAUUCAUACCAAGGUGCGUAAUGCACACAAUCGCUCAUAAUGCACAAAAAAAACGGACAAAACAUCACCUGUUUAUAAAAUCAAAUGGGCAAUAGAGUUCUUUCAGUUCUCACUCGAGAUAAGAGGCAACCUAUACCCUCAGAAAUCUAAACGGAUUUACGUGAUUCACAAAAAUGAUCCUGGAGGCUGGCUAAAAUACGGAACUUACGGACUUUUCCGGAUGUUAUUCUAAUAAUAAAUAUACAGCUAGCAAACGGGUUGUAGCACUUACCGUGGUGUCAGAACAAAACAUAUUGUUAUAUAUAAUGACAUUUUACCUUCUUCAGCUUCUGAAAACCUCGAAAUCCACCAAAAUCGCAUGUUUACAGUUUCUUCAAGUGUUAUCUUUCUAUACUUCCGGUUUAGAAAAUCACGUUACCUUCAGCGCCACCUAACCCAAAGUUUAUAUUUAGCAACCAAUAGAUUACACGAAUACAUGUGCGGUUAGUUUUAAACGAGGGAAAAAUCAAAAUGGCUGAAAAAUGAAAGUGCUUGUUUAUUGGACUUUGGCGAACAACUGGUCGUUUGUCAGCACUGCCGCUGAUCGGGGAGGGUCAAUGCCUGGGACAAGAACAUUUUGCAAGUUCCAGGAGAAAUGGUAUCCUGCUAUACCCAUCGCAUGUUUGCAACAUUUGAUCAUCUGGAGGAUUCCUGGAGAGGUAUGUUCUUCACCAUCGAAGAAAUUCAAAACCAUAGUGCAACUGGUAAAAAGGCCAACAAAGACCAAGUUUGAUCCUGCCAAAUUUAACUUAAUCAGCAAGCUCGUUCAGAAACAUUUUGAUAUCAGGAAGUGGUCAUUAAGACACAAAAUGUGAAGCAGUUAGUAUUCCAAGUGACAAUUUAAAUCAAGUAUUGACAUAAUGAAAAUUACUUUUGUGCUGAAAAAAAAGAAAGAAAAGAAAUAAAAAAGAAUUGUGUCCAGGGUUCUGA